UACAGAGGUCUCAACCGUUGUUCGGAUUCAUUGGGCGUAAAGGGUGCGUAGGCGGUCGCGCAAGUCGGAUGUGAAAUCUUGGGGCUCAACCCCGAAACUGCAUUCGAUACUGCGUGGCUCGAGUACUGGAGAGGAGACGUGGAAUUUACGGUGUAGCAGUGAAAUGCGUAGAUAUCGAGAGGAACACCGGUGGCGAAGGCGGCCUUCUGGACAGUGACUGACGCUGAGACGCGAAAGCGUGGGGAGCAAACAGG
This 254-nucleotide ribosomal RNA is filed under the name uncultured bacterium. RNAcentral's name for it is "partial 16S ribosomal RNA". It matches the Rfam family "Bacterial small subunit ribosomal RNA", at positions 524 to 776 of the family's 1533-position model. The record is from RNAcentral.